RNAcentral lists this ribosomal RNA (419 nucleotides) under bacterium. Its description in RNAcentral is "partial 16S ribosomal RNA". It matches the Rfam family "Bacterial small subunit ribosomal RNA", at positions 355 to 776 of the family's 1533-position model. The record is from RNAcentral.
UGGGGGAUAUUGCACAAUGGGCGAAAGCCUGAUGCAGCGACGCCGCGUGGGGGAUGAAGGCCUUCGGGUUGUAAACUUCUUUUGCUCUGAACAAGGCGCACCAUGGGGUGUGUUGAGUGUAGGGGUUGAUUAGCGCCGGCUAACUACGUGCCAGCAGCCGCGGUAAUACGACGGGCGCGAGCGUUGUCCGGAAUUAUUGGGCGUAAAGGGCUUGUAGGUGGCUGGUUGCGUCUGUCGUGAAAGCUCAUGGCUUAACUGUGGGUUUGCGGUGGGUACGGGCUGGCUUGAGUGCAGUAGGGGAGGCUGGAAUUCCUGGUGUAGCGGUGGAAUGCGCAGAUAUCAGGAGGAAUACCGGUGGCGAAGGCGGGUCUCUGGGCUGUUACUGACACUGAGGAGCGAAAGCAUGGGGAGCGAACAGG